CAGUAGCCGCGGUAAUACGAGGGGGGCAAGCGUUGUUCGGAAUUAUUGGGCGUAAAGGGUGCGUAGGCGGUUUGGCAAGUUUGGUGUGAAAUCUUCGGGCUCAACUCGAAGUCUGCAUCGAAAACUGCCGGGCUUGAGUAUGGGAGAGGUGAGUGGAAUUUCCGGUGUAGCGGUGAAAUGCGUAGAUAUCGGAAGGAACACCUGUGGCGAAAGCGGCUCACUGGACCAUAACUGACGCUGAUGCACGAAAGCUAGGGGAGCAAGCAGGAUUAGAUACCCCGGUAGUCCCUGUCUCUUAUAC
This 301-nucleotide ribosomal RNA is filed under the name uncultured bacterium. RNAcentral's name for it is "partial 16S ribosomal RNA". It matches the Rfam family "Bacterial small subunit ribosomal RNA", at positions 509 to 807 of the family's 1533-position model. The record is from RNAcentral.